GAUGAACGCUGGCGGCGUGCCUAAUACAUGCAAGUCGAGCGAACAGACGAGGAGCUUGCUCCUCUGACGUUAGCGGCGGACGGGUGAGUAACACGUGGAUAACCUACCUAUAAGACUGGGAUAACUUCGGGAAACCGGAGCUAAUACCGGAUAAUAUAUUGAACCGCAUGGUUCAAUAGUGAAAGACGGUUUUGCUGUCACUUAUAGAUGGAUCCGCGCCGCAUUAGCUAGUUGGUAAGGUAACGGCUUACCAAGGCAACGAUGCGUGGCCGACCUGAGAGGGUGAUCGGCCACACUGGAACUGAGACACGGUCCAGACUCCUACGGGAGGCAGCAGUAGGGAAUCUUCCGCAAUGGGCGAAAGCCUGACGGAGCAACGCCGCGUGAGUGAUGAAGGUCUUCGGAUCGUAAAACUCUGUUAUUAGGGAAGAACAAAUGUGUAAGUAACUAUGCACGUCUUGACGGUACCCAAUCAGAAAGCCACGGCUAACUACGUG
Molecule: ribosomal RNA, 497 nt
Filed under: uncultured bacterium
Lineage: Bacteria
Description: partial 16S ribosomal RNA
Rfam family: Bacterial small subunit ribosomal RNA
Source: RNAcentral